RNAcentral lists this ribosomal RNA (268 nucleotides) under uncultured bacterium. RNAcentral describes it as "partial 16S ribosomal RNA". It matches the Rfam family "Bacterial small subunit ribosomal RNA", at positions 333 to 593 of the family's 1533-position model. The record is from RNAcentral.
ACAAGCCUACGGGACGCAGCAGUGGGGAAUUUUGGACAAUGGGCGCAAGCCUGAUCCAGCUAUUCCGCGUGUGGGAUGAAGGCCCUCGGGUUGUAAACCACUUUUGUAGAGAACGAAAAGACACCUUCGAAUAAAGGGUGUUGCUGACGGUACUCUAAGAAUAAGCACCGGCUAACUACGUGCCAGCAGCCGCGGUAAUACGUAGGGUGCGAGCGUUGAUCGGAAUUACUGGGCGUAAAGGGUGCGCAGGCGGUUGAGGAAGAAAGAU